RNAcentral lists this ribosomal RNA (326 nucleotides) under uncultured eukaryote. RNAcentral describes it as "partial 18S ribosomal RNA". It matches the Rfam family "Eukaryotic small subunit ribosomal RNA", at positions 1470 to 1796 of the family's 1831-position model. The record is from RNAcentral.
CCCUUAGAUGUUCUGGGCCGCACGCGCGCUACACUGAUGCAUUCAACAAGCCUAGCCUUGACCGAGAGGUCCGGGUAAUCUUUGAAACUGCAUCGUGAUGGGGCUAGAUUAUUGCAAUUAUUAAUCUUCAACGAGGAAUGCCUAGUAAGCGUGAUUCAUCAAAUCGCGUUGAUUACGUCCCUGCCCUUUGUACACACCGCCCGUCACUCCUACCGAUUGAAUGUGUUGGUGAGGAGCUCGGAUUGGCAGCAGUUGGUGGUUCGCCACCGGUUAUUGCUGAGAAGUCCUCCAAACCGCCCCAUUUAGAGGAAGGAGAAGUCGUAACA